Molecule: ribosomal RNA, 386 nt
Filed under: uncultured bacterium
Lineage: Bacteria
Description: bacterial SSU rRNA
Rfam family: Bacterial small subunit ribosomal RNA
Source: RNAcentral
AUUGAACGCUGGCGGCAUGCCUUACACAUGCAAGUCGAACGGCAGCACGGGAGCAAUCCUGGUGGCGAGUGGCGAACGGGUGAGUAAUAUAUCGGAACGUGCCCAGUCGUGGGGGAUAACGUAGCGAAAGCUACGCUAAUACCGCAUACGAUCUAUGGAUGAAAGCGGGGGAUCGCAAGACCUCGCGCGAUUGGAGCGGCCGAUAUCAGAUUAGGUAGUUGGUGGGGUAAAAGCUUACCAAGCCUGCGAUCUGUAGCUGGUCUGAGAGGACGACCAGCCACACUGGAACUGAGACACGGUCCAGACUCCUACGGGAGGCAGCAGUGGGGAAUUUUGGACAAUGGGCGCAAGCCUGAUCCAGCAAUGCCGCGUGCAGGAUGAAGGCC